Papaver somniferum (opium poppy) is the source of this 2475-nucleotide long non-coding RNA. RefSeq lists it as uncharacterized. Lineage: Eukaryota; Viridiplantae; Streptophyta; Magnoliopsida; Ranunculales; Papaveraceae. The record is from RefSeq and is a predicted model, not a curated record. The transcript has 4 exons.
UCCCUCUUUUAACCUUGAUAUCUUAUACUUGAGCGUCUUCUUUAUUUCUCACUCGAAAAUCAAUGAAAUUCUCCACCCAUCACUACCACCACCAUCUCAAUCGCCACCACAACCAACUUCACCAACACCAACACCAACACCAGAAUCGUCUCCAUCGCCAUCAUCACCAUCUCAGUGAGUUAUCACUCUUUAAUUUCACAUCUAAAAAAAUAUAUAUCUCUCCUGUCUUUCUCUUCGGAAAUCUCCACCACCAUCACCAUCUCCUCCGCCAACUUAUUCAGAUUUAAAUCGAAAAUUAUUAUCAGCAGUAGAUGGUUCAGAUUCAGAUAGACCUUCUUCUUGUAAAGAUUAAUUUCAAAAUCAAAUUAAAAAAUAUGGAGAUCUGAUUUUAGGUUUUGAUUUCUGAUAAGUUAGUCUCUAUUUCAAAAUCGAUGAUCACAGUUGGUUUUGGAAUUUAUUGAUUAUCUUCUUAUUUUGCUUUGAUGUUUUUGGUGGUGUUGGUGGUAUUGGUUAGAUUAAGAACGAAGGAAUUGAUGGAGAUUUCGGUGGUUCUGGUUGCAAUGGUGAAAUUUGGCAAUUGAGACAGUGGUGGUUAAGAUUGUUUGUUGUUGUUGUGGUGGUGGUGGUGAUAUCUUCUGGAUGGGAAAGAAGAAGAGUAUACAUAUGAUGGUGGUGGAGCUUAUUGCCAAGGUACCAUAGUGAUCUACAAGAAGCGAUUUUGUGGGGGGCCCUGUACCUCUAUUGCAGCAGGUACCAUGGUGAUCUACAAGAAGCUAUUCAUGUUAGAUUGAAGGAGCUGGGAUUCGAUUAUGGUGGUGGAAUUUGGUAUUGAUUUUUUGUUGCUAGUGGUGGAAUUUGGUAUUGGUAUUGGUAUUGAUUUUUUGUUGGUGGUGGAAUUUUCGUUGUACGUUCUGUAUGCUACUCACAUUUGAUUGGUAUUGAAUUUGUUUUUCAGUAUGUGGUACAUUUUUUUUCAGUAUGUGGUACAUUUCGACACAUUUAUUGUGGUUGGAGUAGUGGGAUAUGCUCCCUAGUUGGUAAUUCUAGCGAGUACCUGGUUGAAUUCUCUAACUGGCAUUUCUAUUGAGAUAUAUAAGUGUGUUCCUUACAAUUUCAUGUUGUGUACAGAAGUUGUUUAAAUUAUGCACUCAACCAACCUAGCCAGAAUCGUUGUUUAGCAUACAUUUUGGAACUGCAUGAAUACUUAAAUUAGUAUGAACUACUAUGUGUACUUGGACUGUUAUAAACUAGGUUGCAUUAUUAAUGAAAAUUAUUGUUGGAAGUAUUGGACAUAAUGUUUUUGAGCAGUGGCUUUUGGAUGGAAUAAUGAACCGACAUGUAGAGGACUUGAUUUUUGUAAAAAACAUUAAUAUAUUACUAUACCAGCUCUAGCUUACCAGAAACUAUCGAACAUUUCUUGCAUUUUGAUUCAGUUAAUUGUUCAUGUGAAUAAUGGCUUGCUAAUAGAAGAUGCAGCUGGAGAAUAAUUACCAAACAGUUCCCUUCAUUCCCUCUCUGUUCAUCUUCUUUAUUUUAUUCUCUUGAUUUUGUAACCAAGAAAAUUUCUAGCUUUACUGUAUUCUUAAUGGCUUCUUAGUGUGCAAAGGAGUCUUUUCUCUGAUGGAAGCAAGGUUCACCACUCCACUUGCAUUGUCUUUCCAUGGACUCACCACUCGCUGGUGUACAAUUAGUUAAGACAGAAUACUACAAGUCUACAUUUUUCGGUGCUUGAACCUUUCACUAAUUCCAUGUCUUGCAAGAUGUUACGGAUCUCUUGCAGGAUGCCACAGAUCCAAUCAGUGGUUGUUAUACUAUCAUAAUGGAUAAUCCGUCACCAUUCCAAUUGAAUGGUUUUGAAUCAUUUUCGCAAUGCUGGAGGCAGUGGAUGUCGCAAUGGAGAUGGUUUGUUGUGUUAGCAGUAGUGGUGAUGGUAGUGGAUGUUGUAGGUGUGGUGGGGUAGUUGCGGGAGACAAUAUGAACUUGUGUUGCAUGCGCGCAAACUACUAGGUAUGUAUGUGCAGUUUUAUACAUCAGUAGGUGUAGUAUAUGUAUUUGGAUGUUCAUUUUUUAUUGACGAACCUGUGGUGCAACGGUAGCACGACUGACUCCAUGUCAGAUGAUGUGUGUUCGGCGUGCGACUCACGCCAGGAUCACUUUUGUGUAUACUUUUUCUUUGUAGACAACUUAUCCUAGUUGCUUCCAUAUGUGGAGACAACUUGAGCUAGUUGCCUCCAUAUUUGUAAACAAUUUGAGCUAGUUGCUUUCAAAUAUGGAAAACAACUUGUUCCUACACACUAUUUAUUGGAGACAACUUGAGAUAGUUGCCUCCACUCUAGGAAACAACUUCACCAAGUUGCCUUCAGAUUUGGAGACAACUUCAACAAGUUGACUCCACAUAAUGGCGGUGGAAUUGGUGGUUGCUGGUGGUGAUUGGCGGCGGCGGUGAACGAAAGUGGUGGUGGUUGGUGGCGGUGG